Molecule: ribosomal RNA, 650 nt
Filed under: uncultured Pseudomonadota bacterium
Lineage: Bacteria; Pseudomonadati; Pseudomonadota
Description: bacterial SSU rRNA
Rfam family: Bacterial small subunit ribosomal RNA
Source: RNAcentral
GCUGUUUCGCUGACGAGUGGCGGAUGGGUGAGUAAUGUCUGGGAAACUGCCUGAUGGAGGGGGAUAACUACUGGAAACGGUAGCUAAUACCGCAUAACGUCGCAAGACCAAAGAGGGGGACCUUCGGGCCUCUUGCCAUCGGAUGUGCCCAGAUGGGAUUAGCUAGUAGGUGGGGUAACGGCUCACCUAGGCGACGAUCCCUAGCUGGUCUGAGAGGAUGACCAGCCACACUGGAACUGAGACACGGUCCAGACUCCUACGGGAGGCAGCAGUGGGGAAUAUUGCACAAUGGGCGCAAGCCUGAUGCAGCCAUGCCGCGUGUAUGAAGAAGGCCUUCGGGUUGUAAAGUACUUUCAGCGGGGAGGAAGGGAGUAAAGUUAAUACCUUUGCUCAUUGACGUUACCCGCAGAAGAAGCACCGGCUAACUCCGUGCCAGCAGCCGCGGUAAUACGGAGGGUGCAAGCGUUAAUCGGAAUUACUGGGCGUAAAGCGCACGCAGGCGGUUUGUUAAGUCAGAUGUGAAAUCCCCGGGCUCAACCUGGGAACUGCAUCUGAUACUGGCAAGCUUGAGUCUCGUAGAGGGGGGUAGAAUUCCAGGUGUAGCGGUGAAAUGCGUAGAGAUCUGGAGGAAUACCGGUGGCGAAGGCGGC